AGAGCGAAGAGACAGAGGCAGAGCAACAAGACUUAGGAAAGAAGUGGACAGAUGGCUGUAGCAGUGAUCAUCAUCACUUGUGCGGUUCUAUCAAUCUACCUAUGCAUUUCUACACCACCUCUCACCAGAGUGCUUGGCUCCUGUUCUCGCUAAGCAAUGAGGUUAAUAUUUGAAGAACCCGGUCCAUCCAUGGUGCUCGCAGCAUCCGGGCGGAGAGGACAGAAUCCAUCUUUGAAGCAUCUGCUUCUACAUCCUAACCACAUCCCUGGCCUUUAUUUCUUUCCCACAAUGCAAGGGCAAUAAAGAUUAACCUAUCUACUUAAGUUUUGUAAUUAUAGUU
This 340-nucleotide long non-coding RNA is filed under the name Mus pahari (shrew mouse). Its description in RNAcentral is "lncRNA (MGP_PahariEiJ_G0006297.1)". Lineage: Eukaryota; Metazoa; Chordata; Mammalia; Rodentia; Muridae. The record is from RNAcentral.